Molecule: small nuclear RNA, 22 nt
Filed under: Arabidopsis thaliana (thale cress)
Lineage: Eukaryota; Viridiplantae; Streptophyta; Magnoliopsida; Brassicales; Brassicaceae
Description: snRNA_13774
Source: RNAcentral
CUUGGGCGAGAGUAGUACUAGG